AAAGAUGAUUUGGCCAUAAAAACUGAAGGAAAUCUAGGUCAUAUAGUCGGCCAUCAGAUAUUGUCAUUGUGGGCUAAAUUCCAUUCUUAUGAUUGUAAAUUUAUUAGCUUUAGGUAUGUAUUUUGUUCACACAGAGGUUACCUCAAACCGCCAUUCAAUGCUGAAGGAAGAAGGAUAGCAGGAAUGACUAAAGAAUGGUACAUUCCUCUCAUGAAACCAAAAGAUGAAUUGAUGAAGCAUCCCAGAAAAACACAAGAAAAGACGGAAAAUAAUACAGCUACCAACACAUAGGCAGUUUCUAUUCAUUGAUAUUAAAUGUAAUUGCAAUAUUAAAGAAUUAUUUUAAUUAAAGAAUUUUAUCAAAAUUUAUUAAUAAAAUAUCAUGUACUAUUUUGACAAAGUUUAUGUAUACUUUAUUCAGUGUGUUCUGUAUUGUUGUUGCUGCAUUCUUGUCAUGACCUAUAGCCCCAAGCUGGUAAUUCUAGUGUUUUAAAGUUUAUUCUACCAUAAUUAAUCUAACAAGUAUGUAUCUCGUCCUUUAAAAUGCUGAAGUU
Anneissia japonica is the source of this 554-nucleotide long non-coding RNA. RefSeq lists it as uncharacterized. The transcript is spliced from 2 exons. NCBI's taxonomy places the organism in Eukaryota, Metazoa, Echinodermata, Crinoidea, Comatulida, Comatulidae. The record is from RefSeq and is a predicted model, not a curated record.